CUAAGAAUCUUCCGCAAUGGGCGAAAGCCUGACGGAGCGACGCCGCGUGGACGAUGAAGGUCUUCGGAUUGUAAAGUCAUUUCGGGGAGGAAGAAUAAGCGUACUCUAACAGAGUGCGUGAUGACGACCCUCCCAAAAGAAGCUCCGGCUAACUACGUGCCAGCAGCCGCGGCAAUACGUAGGGAGUAAGCGUUGUUCGGAAUUACUGGGCGUAAAGGGUGUGUAGGCGGGAACGCAAGUUGGGUGUGAAAUCUACGGGCUCAACUCGUAAACUGCCCUCAAAACUGCGUUUCUUUAGUAUGGGAGAGGAGUCUUGAAUUCCCAGUGUAGGGGUGAAAUCUGUAGAUAUUGGGAAGAACAUCAGUGGCGAAGGCGAGACUCUGGCCUAAUACUGACGCUGAGACACGAAAGCGUGGGGAGCAAACA
Molecule: ribosomal RNA, 426 nt
Filed under: uncultured prokaryote
Description: bacterial SSU rRNA
Rfam family: Bacterial small subunit ribosomal RNA
Source: RNAcentral